CCUACGGGUGGCAGCAGUGAGGAAUAUUGGUCAAUGGACGAGAGUCUGAACCAGCCAAGUAGCGUGAAGGAUGACUGCCCUAUGGGUUGUAAACUUCUUUUAUAUGGGAAUAAAACGUUCCACGUGUGGGAUUUUGUAUGUACCCUAUGAAUAAGGAUCGGCUAACUCCGUGCCAGCAGCCGCGGUAAUACGGGGGAUCCGAGCGUUAUCCGGAUUUAUUGGGUUUAAAGGGAGCGUAUGUGGAUUGUUAAGUCAGUUGUGAAAGUUUGCGGAUCAACCGUAAAAUUGCAGUUGAAACUGGCAGUCUUGAGUACAGUAGAGGUGGGCGGAAUUCGUGGUGUAGCGGUGAAAUGCUUAGAUAUCACGAAGAACUCCGAUUGCGAAGGCAGUUCACUGGACUGCAACUGACACUGAGGCUCGAAAGUGUGGGUAUCAAACAGGAUUAGAUACCCGUGUAGUC
This 460-nucleotide ribosomal RNA is filed under the name uncultured bacterium. Its description in RNAcentral is "partial 16S ribosomal RNA". It matches the Rfam family "Bacterial small subunit ribosomal RNA", at positions 338 to 795 of the family's 1533-position model. The record is from RNAcentral.